CCCAACAGCACCCAAGUAUCUUGUACUACUACUUUUUCAAAACUCAUCUACCAUCACUUUUAUUACAAAAAUGGCUGAAGAGAAGAAGCACCACUUUGGUCUCUUCCACCACAAGGACAAGGAGGAAGACAAAACUACCUAUGGAGAAACACCAUAUGGUGGUGAUACUGAAAAAACUACCUAUGGAGAGAAUACAUAUGAAGAGAAAACUAGUUAUGGUGGGGGAGAUAACUAUGGGGAUAACAAAUAUGGUGAGAAACCUGGCAAUGGAGAAAGUGGAUAUGGAGAGAAAACUAGUUAUGCUGAGGGAGGUAAGUAUGGAGAUAGUGGCUACGAAAAAAAGACUACCUACGGAGAUAGUGGCUAUGAAAAUAAGACUAGUUAUGGAGACAGUGGCUAUGAAAACAAGACUGGAUAUGGAGAUAUUCCAUCUGAAACUACCUAUGGAGAGAAAACUAAUUAUGGUGAAGGAGAUACCUAUGGAAAAGCUGCUGCCCACUCAUCCGAGACCACUAAUUUUGAAGAGAAUACUGAUGAUGAAGGCAAAACUGGUGAGGAUUAUGAGAAAGAGAAAAGGCACC
Molecule: long non-coding RNA, 581 nt
Filed under: Nicotiana benthamiana
Lineage: Eukaryota; Viridiplantae; Streptophyta; Magnoliopsida; Solanales; Solanaceae
Description: long non-coding RNA (NBEN_LNC009842)
Source: RNAcentral